CAAACAAGUAUCUGUAAGUGGGUUGAAGGAUCCAGUAUUGCCACAGCUGCAGUGUAGGUCGAAACUGCGGCUUGGAUCUGAUCCCUGGCCCGGGAACUCCAUAUGGUGGGGGCAAAAAGAAUAAAAAAAGUCUUACCAGAUGCUAGGCUUGUGCUAAGGUUGUUUGCAUCCAUCCUUUCAUUUAAUUUUCCAUAUAAACUCUCAGAUGGGAUGAUUGGCUAAACCCCAGGCUCCAAACGAUAAAAGUAAUUUAACCCACAGCAAGUAAUAUAUUUAUUAUGUGCCAAAUACAGGUUUAAGUGUGGUACUUGGAUUAACCUAUUUAAUCUACACAACCAUCUGUGAGUUAAGUAUUCUAUGAGUUAAGUAUUAAUCAUCGGCUUUUUAUAAGAUGAGGAAACCAGACCCAGAGAGGUUGAGUAACUUGCCCUGGGUCACCCAGCUAAUAAGCAGGGAAUCCAAAUUUGAACCCAGGCAGACCAGCUUUAUAGCUCAUGACCAAGAGGGCUGUAACUUUUCCCUCAGCUUAACUAAACUUUAGCUAGACUUCUUCCUGACUCUAAACUGCUGUCCUCCCUCUCACCCCAGCCCUUGGAAUCCAGGGCUGGGGUGAGAAUCCAGAUGGCCUAACCUCCUGUUUCUUAGAGCAUUUACUUUAGAAAACUUGUCAUCAUAAAUUUUUUCUGCCCUUUUGAGAUGUAUAUAAAUCUCUUUAAAAACCUCUCGCCAGGAGUUCCUGUUGUGGCACAGCGGAAACGAGUCUGACUAAUAACCAUGAGGUUGCUGGUUCGAUCCCUGGCCUUGCUCUGUGGGUCAGGAACCUAGUGUUGCCGUGAGUUGUGGUGUAGGUUGCAGACAUGGCUCGGAUCUGGUGUGGUUGUGGCUAUGGUGUAGGCCAGCAGCUGUAGCUAUGAUUUGACCCCUAGCCUGGGAACCUCCAUAUGCUGUGGGUGCAGCCCUAAAAAGCCAAACACAAAAAACAAACAAACAAACAAAAAAAACCUUACAAAAGACAAAAAACAAACCUCUUGCCAGUUUUACAACCCAGGCAAUGUCUUUCUUAAGGACCUGGGAACCGUCUCUUUGAAAUAGAAACAUCCAAGGAGAUAGUACCUCCAUCUCCCGUUUAUCCUAGAAGCCUGACCUCAGUGGGGGUCUUUCUCCAAAUUGUGAAACUAUCCCUUUUCCCCAAGAUACAAGAAAAUUUCAAAACUUUGCUUUAGGUGAAGCCAGUUAGCAAACACAGAUGACCUACGACCUCCACUCCCGAGCCCACUUCUAAAACCCAACUGCCUUGUGUUUCACCGAGUUGAGCUCAGACUGAGCUCUGGCCUCUGUCUCCCGUUGGAAUACCCUUGAAUGAGGCUUCUUGCCUGUUUAACGUUGUCCCAUGUGGUUUAUGCUUUGACAGGCAGGACCUGCUCCCAGUGUAUUACACAAUUUCAGGCAGCUCUGAGCCUGCGUUUUGCCAUCUUGGUGGUGUAAGUCAGAGGACUCCCGGGCUUCUGAGGGUGUUGAGGCUGGAAAUCCUCCUUUUAUCACCUCAUCUCAGUGGGGGGGCUUUUUUUCUAAUCUUUGGAGGAAGUUCCAAGGUGGGGAAAAGACUCUAGGAUUCCCCUAGGGCUUUGGGCAUGAAGGUUCCUCUCACGUCUCCCCAGCAUGGCCUGACCCCCUCCAUCCUGCUUAGGCCUGCAGUGGGUGACAACGCACAGUCCUCGAGCUGAAACAGGUGUUGAAGGAUCAUUUUUUUUUUUUUCUUUUUUAGGGCCACACCUGCGGCAUAUGGAAGAUCCAAGGCUAGGGGUCUAAUCAGGGCUGCAGCUGCCAGCCUACACCACAGCCACAGCGAUGCCAUAUCUGAACAAAUCUGCAGCUUACACCACAGCUUAAAGCAAUGCCAGAUCCUUAACCCACUGAGUAAGGCCAGGGAUCGAACCUGCAUCUUCAUGGAUACUAGUUGGGUUCUUAACCCACUAAGCCACACUGGGAACUUUAACUCUUAUUUUAAAAAACAUAAAUGGCUCAUGGCUUUUACACAGAUACAAGAUGAACCCUUGUCAAAGAUUUUACUUAACUCACUCAUGAGUGAGGGAGCCUGCAAAAUGUUACAGCCAGUUCAAAGGAGAAUUCCAAGAGCUCGUGCAUACAGGACAUCAGGAAUGCUGAAACAAAUUCAUGAGUGGAUGUUGAACUGGUCAAUAUCCAGGUGGAAAUACUCAAGUGUAUUCCACCAGGCAGGGAUCUUUUGCAUUGCUCUCAGGUUACCGUGGGUCUGGUAUUACUGUCACAGUUUAAGACAGUGAAAAGUGGAGCUAACCCAGAACAGUGUGCUAGGCAGGACACCCAGUAAUCCCUCCUGCCCAUUACAAAGGCUUUCACCUCUGCAGGUCCCCAGUGUGGUUGGGGAGGCCCAGACACAGUUCUGAUACGGUGCCCUGGGAGUUGGGGAAGGGCGUGUUGAAAGCACAGGUGAGGGACAGAGGAAGGAUUUCCUCCAGGUGUGGGUCUCAUAUUGCUGAUGGUGCCCCUCUUACCCCCACUUCUGUGUAAUCACUGAGUGUUGUCCAUUUCAGAGACUGCAUUAGCUUCCCAGGGCUGCUGAGGCAAAAUACCACAAACUGCGUAGCUUAAAACCACAGAAAUGUAUUGACUUACAAUGCAGGAGGCCAGAAGUCCAAAAGCAAGGUGUUGGGAGGUGCCCCACUCCCUUCACAGCCACUGGGGGAGGAGCCUACCUUGCCUCUUCUGGCUUCUGGGAGCCCGAGGAGCUCCUUGGCUUCUUCAGCCUCCAGUCUCUGCCUCCUUCCUCCCAUGGGAGAUCUCCCUGUGUGUCUGUGUUCACAUUUCCCUCUUCUUACAAAGUCAUAUUAGAGAUUAGUCAUCUUACAUUGAUUAAAUCUGCAAGACUUUAUUACCAAAUAAGAUCAUAUUCACUGAUCCUGGGGGUCAGGACUUCAACAUACCUUUUUAAAUUUUUUUUUUUUAUUUGAGGGGGACACAGUUUCCUGCUUAAAAAAGGACCAGUAUAGAAUAAAGAUUUAGAGACCAGAUGACCAGGUUUAAAUCCCACCCAUUACUGCUUUGUAUGUACCUUUUUUCACUCUGAGUGAAAGCGAGCUAGGAAAUUCUCUCCAAGCCUCAGUUUCUUCAUCUCUUAAUUGGGAUUAUAAUGGGAAAUUUUAGUCUACCAUUAGGACUCUUGUGAGAUGUGAAGUUGAUAACAUAAGUCAGGUACAGGGCCUGGCAUAUAGUAAGUGCUUGCUCAGAAUAUCUGGAACCAGGACUUCCCGUUGUAGCUCAGUGGUAAUGAACCCGACUAGUAUCCAUGAGGACGUGGGUUUGAUCCCUGGCCUCACUCAGUGGGUUAAAGAUCCAGCGUUGCUGUUAGCUGUGGUGUAGGUCACAGAUGCAGCUCGGAUCCUGCGUUGCUGUGGCUGUGACGUAGGCCGGCAGUUACAUCUCCAGUUCAACCCCUAGCCUGGGAACCUCCGUAUGCUGUGGGUGAGGCCCUAAAAAGACAAAAACAAAAACAAAAAAAAUCCAGAACCAGGAAGAUAGUACAGUUAACUCAAAACCAUAUAGAUGAGAUGGAAGUAUGUUUAGUCAGUGAAAAGAAAGAAUGGUGAAAUAAGAUUGAAAAAAUGAUAUUCAAAAUGCAUUCUUGUCUUACAGGGUGAUAAAACCUUAAUUUCUUUUUGUUUACUGGGCAAAAAUCAUUCCAUCAGAAAUUAUUUGUGGGAAUUUCUGCUGUGGUGCAGUGGGUUAAGGAUCUGGCAUUGUCUCUGAGGUGUCACUGGUUCCAUCCUCGGCUGGGGAACUUCUGUUUGCCAGUGGGUGCAGCCAGACAACAAACAAAACAAAUUAUUUUCAACUUUAUCAGACAAAAAUUGAUUGCAACUAAAUCUUCUUAUGAUUUGCAAAAAACAUUUGCAAAGUUAAUAUCCAAACUUUAUAGAGUUUGGCCCUUAAUCAGUGAUAAAUAAUAAGGCAUAUUCCUAUUACCCCAGAGAAUCAGAUAAUCCCUGAGUGGGUCUGUUUCCCUUUUAUCUUAUUUCUAAGUUUUAAGUCAUCGAGGCCCAAUGGAAGUAUAUUUCGAGACACAUUUUUUUAAAUGGCCCUGCUCAUGGUAUAUGGAAAUUUCUGGGCUAGGGAUUGAAUCCAAGCCACAGCUGCUGACCUAUGCCACAGCUGCGGCAGUGCUGGAUCCUUUAACUGACUGCACUGGGCAGGGGAUUGAGCCCACCCCUCUGCAGCAAAUGAGAGAGCCACUGCAAUGGGAUUCUUAACCCACUGUGCCAUGGCAGGAACUCCAAGAUAUAUUUAAAUUAUGUAUAUGACUAAAAACUUUCUGGUAUCCACAUUAAACAAGUAAAAAGGGAAGAAGUAAUUAAUAAUAUACAAAUAUUAUAAAAAUAUAUAGUCAGUAUGAAAGCAUUAUUAAUAAGAUAUUUGGGGAGUUGUACUGAGUUUUUGGAAUCCCAUGUGUAUUUUAUGCUUUUAUUAAUUUCAGUUUGCACUAGCCUCAUUGCAAGUGCUCACUAUCUAGAGCUAUAGAACUUUGUAAAAAUGGAAAUAUACUGUAUAAGCUCUUUUAUGUAAGGCUUCUUUCACUUAACAGAAUGUGGUAUAUCACAGGUUGUUUAUUCAUUCUUCUGUCAAUGGAUACCUGUUUCCAGUUUGGGGCUAUUACGAAUAAAGCUGGUAUAAGUAUUCUUGUAUACUUGUUUUUAUGAAAAUUGGCUCUCGUUUCUCUUGCGUAAAUACUGAGUGGAAUUGCUGUGUCAAAGGAUUGAGGUAUAUUUAGUUUAAUAAGAAACUAGCAGACCCUUUCAAAACCGAUUAUCUGGAGUUCCCUGUGGCACAGUAGGUUAAGGAUCUGGCAUUGUCACAGCAGUGGCUUGAGUCACUGCUGUGGAACAGGAUUGACCAUCCCUGGCCCAGGAACUUCCACAUGCUGU
RNAcentral lists this long non-coding RNA (4958 nucleotides) under Sus scrofa (pig). RNAcentral's name for it is "lncRNA (ENSSSCG00015044858.1)". The record is from RNAcentral. Lineage: Eukaryota; Metazoa; Chordata; Mammalia; Artiodactyla; Suidae.